UACAGAGGGUGCAAGCGUUGUUCGGAAUUAUUGGGCGCAAAGCGCGUGUAGGCGGCUUUGCAAGUCGGGUGUGAAAUCCCUCGGCUCAACCGAGGAAGUGCGCCCGAAACUGCAGAGCUUGAGUACCGGAGAGGAUGGCGGAAUUCCCGAAGUAGAGGUGAAAUUCGUAGAUAUCGGGAGGAACACCGGUGGCGAAGGCGGCCAUCUGGACAGAUACUGACGCUGAGACGCGAAAGCGUGGGGAGCAAACAGG
Molecule: ribosomal RNA, 253 nt
Filed under: uncultured bacterium
Lineage: Bacteria
Description: partial 16S ribosomal RNA
Rfam family: Bacterial small subunit ribosomal RNA
Source: RNAcentral